AACUAAAUACCAUCCCAAUAAAAAAUGAACUGUGAACAUGACCCAGUUCAUUGUCAUGUGUAUGAACUGGACUUUGAACUGGUUGUUUUCAAGAGUGAACUGGUUCAACAAGGAGGAGGAGCAUGAGAACAGGGAAGUGUCAGACUCCAUUUUCACUGGGAUGAGCAGAAGGAAGAAAAGUGAGCAGACUGAAGAUGAGUGGUUAUGAGGAGGAAGUGGAGGACAGAGCAGAGUCUCCAGUGUUCAGCUGUGUGUCUCUGAAGAGUGACCGGUCCAUGGAACAUCCUAUAAACUUCAGUAAAGAACCUGGACCCUCACACACAGAAGAGAGGAAGAGGAGUCAUGUUUCUGAGGAGGAGCAGUCGUCCUGCUGUGCUUCGUGUCAG
Hippoglossus stenolepis (Pacific halibut) is the source of this 386-nucleotide long non-coding RNA. RefSeq lists it as uncharacterized. NCBI's taxonomy places the organism in Eukaryota, Metazoa, Chordata, Actinopteri, Pleuronectiformes, Pleuronectidae. The transcript has 3 exons. The record is from RefSeq and is a predicted model, not a curated record.